ACUGGAAGCCAGCAUCCCUGGGAGUGGUGCUAGAUGCCACUGUGUGCCACCAUGUCUGUGCCUUGCCUCAAUGACAACGGAGUGGCCAGUACUGACCAGCCUCUGGCCUAGGGGCUCGCACCAUCACCCUCAGCUGUGGGUUCUCGCUGGGGCCAUGUUCUGUGGAUCCGUCCAGGCCCCAUGCACAACCCAAAAGUUGUAGCGGGGGCAGGUUACACCCCAGAGGGGACUUCGGAUCAACGGGACAUGGAAGCACAGGUAAACUCCCCUUCCCCACCCCAGAUGGACUGCUGGAGGCACAAAAGUCUUACAGAGCCUCUCCAAAGACACCCAGUGAGAUGGACUCCUACAGGAAGGCAUCCCCGUACCCGUUCGCUCCCCUUCCCUCGCCCCUGCGUCUCUGGACCACACUCCGGCCUCCUUCAGAGACUUCAGCUAGAGACGUGAGUACCACACACGACCACGCUGUUUCCUGAUUCGGCGCCAGCAGACUGGGGCCCUGAGGGGUCCAGGCCCUCCCUCGGGGAGCAACACAGGAGGGCAUCUGCUUCUGGCCACACGUGUGCAAAGGCCACACACGCCCUGGGAGGGACAGCCAUGCACCGGACCUGUGCACACCUUUUGUGACCUGCUGUACCGUCCUUCUACCCACAAACUCCAGCUGUGCCCUAGAUGGCCUGCACGGACCCUGCAGCCCCCGGCCAUCUCCCCCAGAGCCCCCGGGACCCUGGGAGCUGCUGCUCUGACAGAGGGCCAGGGCCUCACCAUGAGGGCCGGAACCUGCUGUGAGCACCCAAAUGUCCCCCUCACUACGGGUCCCCUAUACUCUCAUGUUGGCCCAGGCCUGGGCAAGGGCUACACUCCUUCCCAAGUGCUUCUCCAGCUUCCUGUGCCAAGCCAUCCAGUGAGGCCCCGGGGAGGCCCGACACUGCCCAGUGGUCCUGCAAAGCACUCCCAGUCAAUGAGCUGAUGUUGUCGCCAACGGUUUACUGGAACAUUGUUGGGUAAGGAAUAUAAAUGACACUGACUCUGAUGCCUGCA
This is a long non-coding RNA of Canis lupus familiaris (dog), 1041 nucleotides long. RefSeq lists it as uncharacterized. The transcript is spliced from 2 exons. NCBI's taxonomy places the organism in Eukaryota, Metazoa, Chordata, Mammalia, Carnivora, Canidae. The record is from RefSeq and is a predicted model, not a curated record.